UACGGAGGGGGCUAGCGUUGUUCGGAAUUACUGGGCGUAAAGCGCACGUAGGCGGACUGUUAAGUCGGGGGUGAAAUCCUGGGGCUCAACCUCAGAAUUGCCUCCGAUACUGGCAGUCUCGAGUGCGGGAGAGGUGAGUGGAAUUCCCAGUGUAGAGGUGAAAUUCGUAGAUAUUGGGAAGAACACCAGUGGCGAAGGCGGCUCACUGGCCCGUAACUGACGCUGAGGUGCGAAAGCGUGGGGAGCAACAGG
Molecule: ribosomal RNA, 252 nt
Filed under: uncultured bacterium
Lineage: Bacteria
Description: partial 16S ribosomal RNA
Rfam family: Bacterial small subunit ribosomal RNA
Source: RNAcentral